This 440-nucleotide ribosomal RNA is filed under the name uncultured bacterium. RNAcentral's name for it is "partial 16S ribosomal RNA". It matches the Rfam family "Bacterial small subunit ribosomal RNA", at positions 338 to 795 of the family's 1533-position model. The record is from RNAcentral.
CCUACGGGAGGCAGCAGUGGGGAAUAUUGCACAAUGGGGGAAACCCUGAUGCAGCGACGCCGCGUGAGUGAAGAAGUAAUUCGUUAUGUAAAGCUCUAUCAGCAGGGAAGAAACAGACGGUACCUGAGUAAGAAGCCCCGGCUAACUACGUGCCAGCAGCCGCGGUACGACGCAGGGGGCAAGCGUUAUCCGGAUUUAAUGGGUGUAAAGGGAGCGUAGACGGCGAAGAAAGUCUGAAGUGAAAGCCCGCGGCUUAACCGCGGAACUGCGUUGGAAACUGUUUUGCGGGAGUACCGGAGAGGUAUGCGGAAUGCCUGGGGUAGCGGUGAAAUGCGUAGAUAGUAGGCAGAACACCGGUGGCGAAGGCAGCUUACUGGACGGUAACUGACGUUGAGGCACGAAAGCGUGGGGAGCAAACAGGAUUAGAUACCCGGGUAGUC